GAUGAAUGCUGGCGGCGUGCCUAACACAUGCAAGUCGAGCGGCAGCGAGUUUUACACUGAAUUCUGGAAGCUUCUGAGUAGUACAGAAGAUUUAUUCAAGAGUUUUGUGUAAAAUGUCGGCGAGCGGCGGACGGCUGAGUAACGCGUAGGAAUUUGCCCCAAAGUGAGGAAUAACUGCCCGAAAGGGUAGCUAAUGCCGCAUAUGGUCUUCGGAUUAAAGCCUUCGGGCGCUUUGGGAGAAGCCUGCGUUGGAUUAGGUAGUUGGUAGGGUAAUGGCCUACCAAGCCGACGAGCCAUAGCUGGUCUGAGAGGAGGAUCAGCGAGACUGGAACUGAGACCCGGUCCAGACUCCUACGGGAGGCAGCAGUGAGGAAUCAUCCACAAUGGGCGAAAGCCUGAUGGAGCAAGGCCGCGUGAAGGAUGAAGGCGUUCGGGUUGUAAACUUCUUUUAUGAGUGAAGAAUAUGACGGUAACGCAAGAAUAAGCCCCGGCUACUUACGU
This 501-nucleotide ribosomal RNA is filed under the name uncultured bacterium. RNAcentral's name for it is "partial 16S ribosomal RNA". It matches the Rfam family "Bacterial small subunit ribosomal RNA", at positions 28 to 506 of the family's 1533-position model. The record is from RNAcentral.